Molecule: ribosomal RNA, 491 nt
Filed under: Terschellingia longicaudata
Lineage: Eukaryota; Metazoa; Nematoda; Chromadorea; Monhysterida; Linhomoeidae
Description: SSU rRNA
Rfam family: Eukaryotic small subunit ribosomal RNA
Source: RNAcentral
CAAAGAUUAAGCCAUGCAUGUCUCAGUACAAGCUAAAUUAAAGUGAAACCGCGAAUGGCUCAUUACAACAGCCGUUGUUCCCUUGAGACUAUCAAUACUUGGAUAACUGUGGCAAUUCUAGAGCUAAUACACGCAUUGAAACCCCGACUUUACGGAGGGGUGCAUUUAUUAGAACAAAACCAAUCGGGGCAACCCGUCAUUUGGUGAAUCUGAAUAACCCAGCUGAUCGCACGGUCUUUGCACCGGCGACGCAUCUUUCAAGUGUCUGCCUUAUCAACUUUCGAUGGUAGUUUAUGUGACUACCAUGGUUAUAACGGGUAACGGAGAAUCAGGGUUCGACUCCGGAGAGGGAGCCUGAGAAACGGCUACCACAUCCAAGGAAGGCAGCAGGCGCGCAAAUUACCCACUCUCAGUACGAGGAGGUAGUGACGAAAAAUAACGAGGCGGUUCUCUUAGAGGCCCGCUAUCGGAAUGAGAACAAUUUAAAUCCU